UGCAACGAUGAAGAACGCAGCGAAAUGCGAUACGUAGUGUGAAUUGCAGAAUUCCGCGAAUCAUCGAGUCUUUGAACGCAAGUUGCGCCCGAGGCUCGUCCGAGGGCAUUUCCGCCAGAGCGUCACCGCGUCCCUUCC
RNAcentral lists this ribosomal RNA (138 nucleotides) under Macromitrium tosae. RNAcentral's name for it is "partial 5.8S ribosomal RNA". It matches the Rfam family "5.8S ribosomal RNA", at positions 29 to 154 of the family's 154-position model. From Rfam's summary of the family: 5.8S ribosomal RNA (5.8S rRNA) is a component of the large subunit of the eukaryotic ribosome. It is transcribed by RNA polymerase I as part of the 45S precursor that also contains 18S and 28S rRNA. Functionally, it is thought that 5.8S rRNA may be involved in ribosome translocation. The record is from RNAcentral. Lineage: Eukaryota; Viridiplantae; Streptophyta; Bryopsida; Orthotrichales; Orthotrichaceae.